GCGGCGGUGGGGAUCGGCUGUGAUCGUUCUGGAGGAACGGCGUUUAACCUCCUGAUGUCCAGCAGGGAUGGUUCCUGAUGAACGACGCUCUGUCGUCCUCGUCCGAACUUCCUCACGAUUGAUCGUUCCCGAAGCACGACGCUCCGAGGUCCGAACCUCCUGAUGACUACUUGUAGUGAUUGUUCGCGAAGAAGAACGAUGCCCCACAGUCCGAACCUCUUGCCUACUUGUAGUGAUCUUUCCCGAAGAACGAUUCUCCGAGGUCCGAACCUGCUGACGACUUGUAGUGAUCGUUCCCGAGGAACGAUGCUCCCCCGUCCGGACCUCUUCGCGAGUUGAAGAGAUCCUUCUUG
This 353-nucleotide long non-coding RNA is filed under the name Brassica rapa (field mustard). Its description in RNAcentral is "long non-coding RNA (BRAP_LNC006656)". The record is from RNAcentral. Lineage: Eukaryota; Viridiplantae; Streptophyta; Magnoliopsida; Brassicales; Brassicaceae.